AUUGAACGCUGGCGGCAUGCUUUACACAUGCAAGUCGAACGGUAACAGGGUGCUUGCACCGCUGACGAGUGGCGGACGGGUGAGUAAUGCGUCGGAACGUGCCGAGUAGUGGGGGAUAACGCAGCGAAAGUUGUGCUAAUACCGCAUACGUACUGAGGUAGAAAGUGGGGGACCUUCGGGCCUCACGCUAUUCGAGCGGCCGACGUCUGAUUAGCUAGUAGGUGGGGUAAAGGCUCACCUAGGCGACGAUCAGUAGCGGGUCUGAGAGGAUGAUCCGCAACACUGGGACUGAGACACGGCCCAGACUCCUACGGGAGGCAGCAGUGGGGAAUUUUGGACAAUGGGCGAAAGCCUGAUCCAGCCAUGCCGCGUGUCUGAAGAAGGCCUUCGGGUUGUAAAGGACUUUUGUCAGGGAGGAAAUCCCUAGUGCUAAUAACACUGGGGGAUGACAGUACCUGAAGAAUAAGCACCGGCUAACUACGUGCCAGCCGCCGCGGUAA
RNAcentral lists this ribosomal RNA (500 nucleotides) under uncultured bacterium. Its description in RNAcentral is "partial 16S ribosomal RNA". It matches the Rfam family "Bacterial small subunit ribosomal RNA", at positions 30 to 523 of the family's 1533-position model. The record is from RNAcentral.